Quercus robur (English oak) is the source of this 695-nucleotide long non-coding RNA. RefSeq lists it as uncharacterized. The record is from RefSeq and is a predicted model, not a curated record. The transcript has 3 exons. NCBI's taxonomy places the organism in Eukaryota, Viridiplantae, Streptophyta, Magnoliopsida, Fagales, Fagaceae.
AUUAUCAACAAACCCCAAUAGUGGAAAAUAGGCUUAAAAGACGUGGUCCUACAGGGCUAGCUGACAUAUGGGCAUUGGAUGGUGAGUACAAAAUCCCGUUGCUGUUAAAUGAUCAAGGCCAACUGAUUGGUCUGGACGGUGGCAUGUUCGUUCGGUGGUUGGGAACUUUUUGCGAGAAUGGCUUAUUAUGCUUGCUGGGUGGCCAAGCGUCCUUGAAAAAUUUAAACAGGAUUGUUGGAUUGAGAUUGAGAAACAGUAUCUAAUUGACCCCAAUAUUGUCGCACCACCCGAUCAAAUGGAAUGGGCAAUGCAUCAACUUGGGGUCCUGAGGAGAAAUUAGAGGACAAAGUUGAAGAAGGAUCACUAUAAACGUGGGAUGACAAAGGAACAAGUAUUGGCCAACAAACCGUCGAUGGUUGACAAAGUGCAGUGGACGGAGAUGGUUAACUAUUGGUUUUUGGACAAAACUGUGACAUUAAGUAACAAGAACAAGGUGAGUUGAGGUAAAUAGAAGGAGAUAGCAAGGUCUGGGCCCAAAAGUUUUGCACAAAUUUCUGAUGACAUGGUAAGAAAUGCAUUACAAGUGCUACUGUAUUCGUGUAUCACAUAAGCUAAUUUUAUGCUUCUGAAUCACACUAAAUGUUGAAAAUACUCUUUUACUUUCUUGUUGGUGGUAGAUAUAAAUUAAAAUUCAU